Long non-coding RNA from Homo sapiens (human), 631 nucleotides. Lineage: Eukaryota; Metazoa; Chordata; Mammalia; Primates; Hominidae. The record is from Ensembl.
CUUAUUGCCUGCAAAGCUGCCUGAAAAAGUAGUUUCUCAAGAAAAGCAGUUUCUCAAGAAACAUUUCAGUAAUAAAUGAAUGAGUGAAAUGGUGUGUAAGCCAUAACCAUCUUAGAAACAGCUGUGAAAUCAAGCAUGCUGGCUGGGAGAUGUGGCUCCUCUCCGCGGCACAGUGUCUAUAUCACUGAUCAGGUGGACAGAUAGUCCCAGAAGGAGGCCCUCACCAACCCAUUUCCCCAGACACAGUCAGAACUGGGGUCAGCUGCAGAGAUGGGAACCGCAAGAGGAAGGAGACCCUUAACAAGGACCAGGAAAGUGGUGUAUGCAUAAAGAAAGGAAGCUGUUCUUGAAAUGUGCCAGUGACCUCAUCCCUGUCCCUGAGGCCAGCAUGAGUGCUUGCAGUGCAAGUGACCCAUCUGCCAGGGUGACCUCAGGCCUCGGACUAACAGCAAAUAAAGCCAUGAACACACUGUUCUCUGGACACUUUUGCAAUUUUUCCUUUCCAGGGCCUACAGCUCUAGACUUGAGACCUGCAACUCUUCCCCUUUGUUCACUAUGACUCUAACAAAUUUAAAACAUGUCAGUUCUCUCCAACCCCAAGAAAUGUGAAUAAAUGUUUCCGAAAACCAGA